RNAcentral lists this long non-coding RNA (3164 nucleotides) under Zea mays. RNAcentral's name for it is "long non-coding RNA (ZMAY_LNC005886)". Lineage: Eukaryota; Viridiplantae; Streptophyta; Magnoliopsida; Poales; Poaceae. The record is from RNAcentral.
CAACGGUGGAAAGGAUGUAAGCAAAGUUUAACGCGGGAUGACAAUUGCUUUAUUAAUCCAGCCUAUCAAGGGCACUGUACGGGGGUAUUUAUAGGUGCCCGAGUGUCCAACUUCCCAAUGUAAGGACGUUUAUGCCCUCGGGCACCUAGACUAUACCCAGAAUAUUCCCAUAAGGGAGGGUUACAGACCGUCAUUACAGAAAAGCUAUUACAAAUCAGACCCGUAACACGCUUCUCCGUGCGGGGUCUAUUACAGUGGGCCGAAUCCCACGUGGGCCGGUCAGACAGGACGUGGGAUAGAGAGAUUUCGUCGUAAGCCUUCAUCUUGAAGUGAGGAGGACGAAGGGUAGGCUGCACCGGUCAUCUUGCCUUCGUUGGUGCAGUGAGGUGAUGAAGGCCUCGAGCGAAGGGUAGCGUCUUCACCUUCGUCCCAACAGUAGGGCCUCCUCCCAUGGCGAAAGCGACUCUGCACGAUGCUCAACUCCAUCGAGAAUUUCUUGUGAAGCCAAGGGUCUUCCACGUCCAACGAACCACGAGGAGCUUCCAUGUGUGCUGGUGAUCUUGCCUGACCGUACUCCGAAGACCGAGAUGCAGCGCGCUCGUGGACUGCUUGUUGCGGUUUUCUCUCUCCCUCGACGUCACGGCAGCAGGGGCUCUCUCGGCUACCAAGAUUGUGCGAGAUGGAUGAAGGGCUCGGCAAUAUAUGCCUAGAGACUAGAGAGGAGGGAAUCUCGACCAGGGGCUGGCCGCAACAGCCAUGCGGCAACCGUGAGUUCGUUCCGAUCUGCAGGGGAGGAGAUUAGGAGAAGCACCUGUUCUGGGGUCCACUUGUCUGUGGUCGUAGGAACCAGGGCGCGGCGCAUUGGUCACUGACCCAAGCGGCCCAUGUGUCAGCAACACGUAACCAGGGACAUGUACACGGUGAACAAAAGAAAAAAAAAGAGCAGGAGAGCGGGCUAGCUCGUGGACUUUUGCUCCGCCGGAAGUGGAAUGAGGAAUUUGGGCCGAGGUGAGUUCUUCCCUUUUAUAUUUACCGUUUCAUUUUUUCCUAUUUCUAACUUCUAAUUUCAUAUUCCCAGAUCAAGUUUGUGUUUCAAAUUCAAAUUGAAUUCAAGUAUGAGUUUCCAAAUUAAGAAAAUGCUCAAGCAGAACUCCAGUGUGAAUGCAAAAAGGUUUUAUUUUAUAUCUAUAUUGAUUAUUUUUCUUAAUUGUAUGCUUCAAAUAGGGAUUAUACUCCCAUUAUUCAUUUUAAAUUACCAUCUUUGAAUGUAUGUGUGAAUUAAAAGGUCAACCAAUUAUGAAUAGUAGUUACUUAUCUAAUAUAGGAGAAUAUAAGAUUAUUUAUCAAGAGGUAUUUUUACCCAAAUAUAGUCUUACUAGUAUUUAUAAUUAUAUAGUUCACGCAUGGAAUAAUCUAAGUGAAAAUCCUUCUAUUAUCUAUUUUCUUUUAAAUUAUAUUCCAGCCUCAAAAAGUCUAGGCUCAAUAUUUGACCUUACGACAUUUUAGGAUUGCUAACCAUCUAUUUUUAAGAGACGUAAUCUCAAACGUAAGCAAUUUAUCAUAAAAAGAAUUCCAAUUUAAAAACUUUUGGAGAGUUUACUGGUUUUCCCAUGAUAGGAUUUUGAGGUGUUACAAAUUCUAUCCCUUAAAAAUAAUCUCGUCCUCGAGAUUAGUAGGAAAAAGAGAUACAAUAAGUUUAGUUUAUAACAAGUUUGGUUUGUAGUUUUAGUUUUUUUUAAAUGGUUGCAUUACCCAAAAAAAAUUAGGGGAUUGGGAAGACAUAAGCAUCACUUAUGUCGAGGCAAGAUGAGAUUACAGUGAGGAUAGGUUGGGGAAAGCAAGGCUAGGCAAGGAAAUUUUCCAUCCCGAAUGGUGGAUCUUGACUUAUUUGAAGAUCUGGUUCUACUCAUAUCCUUGCUUGUCGAGGUUGACAUCUUCCUCCUUCAGUCUUGGUGCCACGAUCUGAGGUUUAUAAGGUUUAGAUACAUAGAUGGUUGUGAAAUGUGAUGUAGAUCAAACAGGGUUUACUUUGACUUUAGGUUGGAAUAGAUGAAUUAGGCAACCUAUCAGGUUGGUCAAGUAGUUGUGUAUGACCGAGUUGAUCUAAGGCACCAAUCAUGAAUCUGUUGGUCGGGUUAGGUCGUUUGUUCAUGGCUGAGUUGGUUUACGACACCAUUUUAAGUUAAAACAUGUUUAUAGCGAUAGGGUCUAAUCUAUUUUGCUAGUAUUAACUAACAUGUUAAGCAACUCCCAUUAUAUUAUUUCGUAUUAGAUUAGGUGGGAUCUUGAUCAUAUUGGUAUGAUUAGAUUAGACUAAAUAGGAUCUAAUUAAUUUGGAUUAGAUCAUUGUUGUUACUCUAAGAUGAGAUAAGCAAAGUGGUUAGGAUAAGAUAAGAUAUAAUCUUUUAAGAUGAGAUCAAUCUAUUGAGCUAGAAUUUUUUUUUGUAAUGGGUAAUAAUAUAAGUUGUAUAGUUAUCUUAUAAGUAUGUUUUUAUACCUAACUAUAUAUGUAGAUACAAUUGUGGACAUUACUCCACAACUCAUCACACUCAAUCGAAGAGCCAAAUCAAACAGGUGGAAUAAUAACAAACAUUCAAGUAAGUAGAUACCUAGAAAAAUAGUUUUUUUGUGAUUAGGUCUGUUGGGGGCCUUCGUCUUCCGAAGGUCCUCAAAAACACGACUAACAUGUUUUCCAAGUAUAAUAUAUUGUCACAUGUACCUUCGGCCUUGAGAUGAAGAUGCACAUGGUAUGAAAGGCGCGGCCUGGAAGAAGGAUGAAUCAAUUCCGAAGCCAUGAAGGGAGAAGCUUCGGCUUAACGGUGGAAAAUGAAACCGACCUAAAGGUGAAAAGGUUGUCUAGUCCUCGACAAAUUACACUUUAGUCAAUAGUAAGUGUCAAGGACAUGGAUGUAAUUUUACACAGGCUGUGUCCUGUGCAUAUAAAUAGAUGAACAGUAACACCGUACUGUUCACGCUGACUUGUAUUCACUCGCACGUCACUCUGGGGUUUUUACCUUCUGUCAAGCCGAAUGUAUGGAAUGUAAUUCAAUAUUAUUAAUACUUAUUCAUGAUUAUAAAAUGAGAAUACAGAUAACCUGAUGAUUUGACAUAAUUAUUCAUGUUCUUUACAUGUCUUUUAUAUUCCUGCUAUUUAUUAUAUGUUG